AGUGAACGCUGGCGGCAGGCCUAACACAUGCAAGUCGAACGGAAGCACAGUAAGAGCUCGCUCCUUCGGGUGGCGAGUGGCGGAUGGGUGAGGAAUAUAUCGGUAUCUACUUUUUCUUGGGUGAUAACGUAGGGACACAUACGCUAAUAGUGCAUAUGACCUACGGGUGAAAGCAGGGGAUCUUCGGAUAUUGCGUGAUCCUAUGAGCCGAUGUCGGAUUAGCUAGUUGGAGGGGUAAAGGCCCACCAAGGCGACGAUCCGUAGCUGGUCUGAGAGGAUGAUCAGCCACACUGGAACUGAGACACGGUCCAGACUCCUACGGGAGGCAGCAGUGGGGAAUAUUGGACAAUGGGCGCAAGCCUGAUCCAGCCAUGCCGCGUGUGUGAAGAAGGUCUUCGGAUUGUAAAGCCCUUUUAUUGGGGAAGAAGAGCAGCAAGUUAAUACCCCGCUGUUCUGACGGUACCCAAAGAAUAAGCACCGGCUAACUUCGUG
This 492-nucleotide ribosomal RNA is filed under the name uncultured bacterium. RNAcentral describes it as "partial 16S ribosomal RNA". It matches the Rfam family "Bacterial small subunit ribosomal RNA", at positions 29 to 507 of the family's 1533-position model. The record is from RNAcentral.